RNAcentral lists this unclassified non-coding RNA (352 nucleotides) under Microbotryum scorzonerae. RNAcentral's name for it is "sequence contains 5.8S rRNA gene". The stretch from base 1 to 53 matches the Rfam family "5.8S ribosomal RNA", at positions 102 to 154 of the family's 154-position model. The record is from RNAcentral. Lineage: Eukaryota; Fungi; Basidiomycota; Microbotryomycetes; Microbotryales; Microbotryaceae.
GAACGCAUCUUGCGCUCGCUGGUAUUCCGGCGAGCAUGUCUGUUUGAGUGUCGUGAACUCUUCAACCCCCAAUUUUUCUUUAUUGAGAUUUUGGCGCGGCUUGGUUUCUGAACGUUUUUGCUGGAAACCACCUUCGGGUGGAAUCGAAGCUCGUUCGUAAUACAUUAGCAUCCUAAUCUUCGAGAUCAGAUUGACUCGGCGUAAUAGACUAUUCGCUGAGGACAUGGCGUCCCCUUAAAAAGGGAGUCGUGGCUGGACUUGGACAGCUGGAAGCUUACAAAACCCGACAAUUUAGUCAAUCAUUUUUAAAGAUUAGACCUCAGAUCAGGCAGGAUUACCCGCUGAACUUAAG